GCCAGACUCCUACGGGAGGCAGCAGUGGGGAAUAUUGCACAAUGGGGGAAACCCUGAUGCAGCGACGCCGCGUGAGUGAAGAAGUAUUUCGGUAUGUAAAGCUCUCUCAGCAGGGAAGAAAAUGACGGUACCUGACUAAGAAGCCCCGGCUAACUACGUGCCAGCAGCCGCGGUAAUACGUAGGGGGCAAGCGUUAUCCGGAUUUACUGGGUGUAAAGGGAGCGUAGACGGCAUGGCAAGUCAGAUGUGAAAGCCCGGGGCUCAACCCCGGGACUGCAUUUGGAACUGUCAGGCUGGAGUGCAGGAGAGGUAAGUGGAAUUCCUAGUGUAGCGGUGAAAUGCGUAGAUAUUAGGAGGAACACCAGUGGCGAAGGCGGCCUACUGGACUGUAACUGACGUUGAGGCUCGAAAGCGUGGGGAGCAAACAGGAUUAGAUACCCUUGUAC
Molecule: ribosomal RNA, 446 nt
Filed under: uncultured bacterium
Lineage: Bacteria
Description: bacterial SSU rRNA
Rfam family: Bacterial small subunit ribosomal RNA
Source: RNAcentral